RNAcentral lists this ribosomal RNA (468 nucleotides) under uncultured bacterium. RNAcentral's name for it is "partial 16S ribosomal RNA". It matches the Rfam family "Bacterial small subunit ribosomal RNA", at positions 28 to 508 of the family's 1533-position model. The record is from RNAcentral.
GACGAACGCUGGCGGCGUGCUUAACACAUGCAAGUCGAACGGAAAGGCCCUGCUUUUGUGGGGUGCUCGAGUGGCGAACGGGUGAGUAACACGUGAGUAACCUGCCCUUGACUUUGGGAUAACUUCAGGAAACUGGGGCUAAUACCGGAUAGGAGCUCCUGCUGCAUGGUGGGGGUUGGAAAGUUUCGGCGGUUGGGGAUGGACUCGCGGCUUAUCAGCUUGUUGGUGGGGUAGUGGCUUACCAAGGCUUUGACGGGUAGCCGGCCUGAGAGGGUGACCGGCAAGAUUGGGACAGAUAUCGCGCCAGGCCUCCGACGGGGGCCAGCAGGGGGGAAUAUUGCAAAGGGGGCGGAAGCCUGAUGCAGCACCGCCGUGGGGGGGAUGGGGGCCUUCGGUUGGAAACCCCCUUCCGCCGGGGAGGAAGGGUGAGGGAGGUAAGGGGGUAAAGAAGCCCGGCCAAACUACGGC